GACGAACGCUGGCGGCGUGCUUAACACAUGCAAGUCGAACGAGGAACCCGGGUCUUGCGCUGGGGGAGUAGGUGCGAACUGGGGAGUAGCACGUGGGUAACCUGCACUUGACUCUGGGGUGUGCUUUUGAAGCGACGUCUCAUACCGGAUAGGACCUUGCAUCUCAUGAUCUGGGGGGGAUGGUUUAUUCGGUCUGUGAGGUACUCGCGGACUAUCAGCUUGUUGGUUAGGUAGUGGCUGACCAAGGCGUCGACGGGUAGCCGGCCUGAGAGGGUGAGCGGCCACACUGGGACUGAGACACGGACAAGAGUCCUACGGGCGGCAGCAGUGGGGAAUAGUGCAAAAUGGGAGAAAGCCUGAUGCCGCGACGCCGCGUGCGGGAUGAAGGCCUUCGGGUUGUAAACCGCUUAUAGUAGGGAAGAAGGGCUUCGGAUUGAAGGUCCCGGAAGAAAAAGGACCGGCUAACUACGU
RNAcentral lists this ribosomal RNA (471 nucleotides) under uncultured bacterium. RNAcentral describes it as "partial 16S ribosomal RNA". It matches the Rfam family "Bacterial small subunit ribosomal RNA", at positions 28 to 506 of the family's 1533-position model. The record is from RNAcentral.